CUGAAUUAAUGAUGAGGUUGUCGCUGGCCCGUUGGGCAUGUGCACGCCUUGUUCAUCCAAAUUCUUAAACCUCUGUGCACCUUUCAUGGGACAAUAGCGUUUAUGCUCUGCUUGAUAAAGGCGAGUGUAGUGCAGUUGUUCUGUGCCUUUUAUACAUACGCUUCAGUUUAGAAUGUUUUUAUUGCGCAUGACGCAUCUAUAUA
This 203-nucleotide unclassified non-coding RNA is filed under the name uncultured Agaricomycetes. RNAcentral's name for it is "sequence contains ITS1". The record is from RNAcentral. Lineage: Eukaryota; Fungi; Basidiomycota; Agaricomycetes.